This 791-nucleotide ribosomal RNA is filed under the name uncultured bacterium. RNAcentral describes it as "bacterial SSU rRNA". It matches the Rfam family "Bacterial small subunit ribosomal RNA", at positions 8 to 784 of the family's 1533-position model. The record is from RNAcentral.
AGAGUUUGAUCAUGGCUCAGGAUGAACGCUAGCGGCAGGCUUAAUACAUGCAAGUCGAGGGGCAGCAUGAGUGUAGCAAUACAUUCGAUGGCGACCGGCAAACGGGUGCGGAACACGUACACAACCUUCCUUUAAGUGGGGAAUAGCCCAGAGAGAUUUGGAUUAAUACCCCGUAACAUUAUGAUGUGGCAUCACAUUAUAAUUAUAGCUCCGGCGCUUAAUGAUGGGUGUGCGGCUGAUUAGGUAGUUGGCGGGGUAACGGCCCACCAAGCCUGCGAUCAGUAACUGGUGUGAGAGCACGACCAGUCACACGGGCACUGAGACACGGGCCCGACUCCUACGGGAGGCAGCAGUAAGGAAUAUUGGGCAAUGGAGGCAACUCUGACCCAGCCAUGCCGCGUGGAGGAUGAAGGCCCUCUGGGUUGUAAACUUCUUUUAUAUGGGACGAAAAAGGGCCUUUCCAGGUCAACUGACGGUACCAUAUGAAUAAGCACCGGCUAACUCCGUGCCAGCAGCCGCGGUAAUACGGAGGGUGCAAGCGUUAUCCGGAUUCACUGGGUUUAAAGGGUGCGUAGGUGGGUUGGUAAGUCAGUGGUGAAAUCUCCGAGCUUAACUUGGAAACUGCCAUUGAUACUAUCAGUCUUGAAUAUUGUGGAGGUCAGCGGAAUAUGUCAUGUAGCGGUGAAAUGCUUAGAUAUGACAUAGAACACCAAAUUGCGAAGGCAGCUGGCUACGCAUAUAUUGACACUGAGGCACGAAAAGCGUUGGGGGAUCAAAACAGGAAUUAGAUA